AAUACGUUCCCGGGCCUUGUACACACCGCCCGUCACACCACGAAAGCCGGAAACGCCCGAAGCCGGUGGCCCAACCCGCAAGGGAGGGAGCCGUCGAAGGUGGGGUCGGUGAUUGGGGUG
RNAcentral lists this ribosomal RNA (120 nucleotides) under uncultured bacterium. RNAcentral describes it as "partial 16S ribosomal RNA". It matches the Rfam family "Bacterial small subunit ribosomal RNA", at positions 1365 to 1482 of the family's 1533-position model. The record is from RNAcentral.